This 5986-nucleotide unclassified non-coding RNA is filed under the name Hevea brasiliensis (rubber tree). Lineage: Eukaryota; Viridiplantae; Streptophyta; Magnoliopsida; Malpighiales; Euphorbiaceae. The record is from RNAcentral.
ACCAAAAGCCAGAAUGAUAUUUGGCCACAAGCAAGCAUACCAACCAAGUCUUGGAAAAAAGGGAAAAGGCAACAAAGAUGUCUCAUUCCUUGAGGCAAAUACGCAAUGGCCAUUCCUCAGUGCGCCACAGACUUAGUAAUUUUAGCCAAGAAGGUUUACAUGAACAUGUUUCCUCGUCCAAUUGGUAUAGCAAAAAACUAAAGACCUUAUUCCAAAUAUCAAACUAAUAAGCUCACAGAUCAAUGUGCUUGGGAGGUGGGGUAGAAUUCACAAGGAUAGAUGCAUUUGUAGUUAGAAUAAGAUUAUAUGUAAUUGGCAGAAAAAAGAAUAAUUAUCUCUUAAUAACAUGUAGCUAAAUCUGCUAGUCUUUCUGAAUCUUAGAAACUUGCAAUUCAAUAAGAUAAAAUCUGUAGCAGAAAGAAAAAGGAUCAUCUAUCUCUUGAUAACAACGUAGCUAGAUCCGCCAGUCUUCUGAAUCUUAGAAAUUCUCCUCAGGAUUUCUGCAAAAGCCUUCUUAUCCUCAGAACCUUUCAGUCGUGAUUUAAACCUAGCAACAAGAUCCUGUGUGGUCACGGGCCCAUUUUGCAACAAAACAGCCCUGAUCUCUUCUUCAGUGACGGGUGAAGUUGACCCUGUUUUCAGUGAUGAUGGUGACCCUUUAGGAGUUGCACUACUUUUAGCAGUAGGCACACUUUCUUCUUUCACAGUAGGUUUUAAUUCAUUUUCUGCCUUCACCUUCUUUUGAGGUCCGCCAGCAGAUGUUUUUGCAUCAUCACCAUUUAAUUUUCUUUUUCCCUUUGCAGACUUGGAAGUAGAUGGGGUCCCUUUAGCAGAACCAGAAGGCAUUGGUUUUGCAGGACUGUUAUCAGCAGGUUCCUCCUUAGGUGCAUCCUUCUUUGGAGCCAAUACAGGAGAAAGAUCAUCUUCCUCCAUAUCCUCAUCAUCAUCGUCGCCAUCUGCAUCUGAAUCAUUCAGUCCACCAGCUCUCCCAAGAAGCUUCUUCAACUCCUUGCCAGAUUUACUCAGUCCACCUUCCUCAUUCUCGUCAUCUUCAUCAUCUUCAUCCUGCAACAUGAAAAAACCAAGGCUAAUAUGACAAAAACCAAACAUUACAAUGUACAGUUAAAGGGGGCAGAAGUUUGGUGAUCCAUUUGAAGUACUCCUCAACAAUAAAUGUUCCGACUUACAAAUCACAUUAUGUGCUCAAAACUUACAACUGUCAUUUUUAUUUAUCAGUAAAGCAUAAUUCAGAAAUUCAAACUUUUAUUAAUAUAAAAUUUUACACAUUUUAUUACCACUGACCAUAUGCCAAACAGACCUUAAAUAGGAUACAAACUAUUGCAUCAAGCAUUACACAUAAGAUAUCAAACCUAAGGAAAACCAACAUAUGUUAACAUGCCAAGCAAUUAGGCAACAAAAUUUCCCUGCCAAAGUGAAAAAGCAACACAAGGAUAGUUCCCUUAACUCAUUUGUUUUACUUUCAUUUCAAUAAUGUCAAUGUCAUCAAAAUUCUCUGACAAUUUAUUUAUCACGAACAUAAUAGAUUACCAUUCGAUUUACUAACAACCAAUAUGUUCUCCAUAGCAACCAGGUCCAUGCUAUCCCAUUAAAGUUUCUCUAGUUGAAAAUACAUUAUUCACCAAGAGAUUGAAUAUAAACAACUGAGGUCCCAUGAAGAUCAAAUUAUCAGAGCACAUCAUUAUAACUUUUGAGCUUUGAAGCCUUGAUACCCAAAUGCUUGCUAACAAAAUGAUGCAAAAAUGACAGAUCUGAUGUGCCCAUUAACAACCCACAUCUGCAAUCGGCAGAAACAGUUACUUACCUGCUUGAUUUCUGGAGGAGCAGGAACCUCAGGGGCCAAGUCUUCCCGUUCCUCGGGAUCAUUACCAACUGCUUCAUCAUCAUCAGUGAAAAUUUCUUCAUGCUCCCAAUCAUCACCUAAUAUCCACAAAUACACAUUUCUUUCUCAGUAUCAUCAUCAUCAAUAUCAUGAUCUCCUCCCCUUGGACCUUCCUCAUCGUCGUCACCACUAUGUUUGUUGAGUCCAAGUCUAUUUUUCCUUGCUGCCUCCUCCUCUUCAUCUUCUUCUCCCCUGUCGGACACAUUGCCUUCUUCAUCAUCACCACCUGUUUUUUUACGUCCUCUUCCACCAGAUGUUCCACUUUCUUUAUCAUCAAACUUUUCCACUUCACCAAAUGCUGCAGCUCCAUUAUUUGCAGCUUUCAUCAUCCAUCUUUGAUAACCAUCGGCGGUUUUUCUCCUGUUCUUCAUCUUCUCUUCUGCUUCCUCCAAAGUAAGUUGCUUAUAUUGAGCAACCUUGUUAAAGUUAUACCAAGAACCGGCAGGAAUAGCAACAAACUCUUUCCCCUGCAAUAUCAAUAAGUAGUAAGUUGCUGAUUGUGAACCUUCAAGAUGACCUUGGUACUGAAACUGGCCUGUUUCAUCCUCCAAUAACCAAGGUUUAUUCUUGUAUUUCCCCCGCAACACAUCAGUUAGUUGACGUCCUUGAAGUCCUUCCUUAUGCAGUGACCAUUUAUUCUCAGCAUUUUUCUUCUUUGAAAAACUUGGUAGCCCUGUCACAAAUCUACCAAUAAAGUAGUUCUUGUCGUUGUCAGGACUCACUCGAACAUUGUAUUCCUAGAUGGAACCACAAGAAAGUACACAUAGGUUCAUCUUUCAAAUAAACAUAAUUUAUUAAUCAAUCAAUCCUCAAGGAUUUUCAAAUACAAUGACGUCAUGUUGAAAAUUAUCAUAAAUUCACAGACAAUACAACAAUAUUAACACUAUAAAAGCCCAUGAAAAUCAUAUUUGCAACAACCCUCUUGUAAAAACAUAUCACAUAUUCAUUCCUUUCGUCUUUUGUAACCCUAUGAAAGGAACUUAGAUAUAAACCAUUGGAGACCAUCAAGGGGAUGACAUCGUAAAAUCAAUUCAUCCCUCGAAAAUUUAUAUCAAAAACCGCCAAUAUUGUGUUCUAUACAAUGAAUAAUUAUAGAAACUUGACAAAAAUAAGAAAAGGAAAAAAGUGUGAGGAUAGAGGGAGAAGGAGAAGAAUAAUAAUAGCAAUAUUGUUGUAGUGAUGUAACUAACAAAUAAAAACAAUAAAAUUGGUCCACCAAAUUCAAAAAAAUAAGCUACAAAUAGAAUUUGAGAGAGAAAAAAAAAAACCCGAAUCAAGCGAGUUACUGUAGCACCACAAUCAUAACAUUUUCCGAGACUCUCAGCCAUGGUUUUCCCACAAGUCAAGCAUAGAGUCAUGUGCUUGCAGUUGCUUCCAUAUAAGUCUGUGGUAGAUCCACAUCCACUACAUGAUGGCUUCAACAUAAGAUCAAACGACAUUUUUCCUCCACCUUUAGAAACCAACAAACAUCAAAUUUCAAAGAAGCAAACCAAACAAACCAUAAAAAUAAGAGAGAAACAACAAAGGACCACAAUCUAGGGUUUUGUUAUUUUUAACUAAUGAAAUCAAUUAAAAUACCUACAGAACAAUUAUUUUGUGAACUAUGAAUAUGUUUUUUUUUCUCCAAAUUUUUAGGGCAAGUGUUAUGGAUUUUCACUUUUUUUGAGCAUUCAACAGUUGGAGAAUGUCCAAAAGUAUAAAUAUAAAAAGAGAGAGAGAGUUCAAAUCUUUAAAGAUGACACAAAUGAGUUUAACCAUUACACUAAUAAAACAAUAAGAAACAACUGGAUUUAACAAUCUAUGCCAAUGAAGCCAUCAUAAACUGUGAAAUAGAAUCAUAUAGAUACACCUGGCUAUAGACUACAGAAAAAAGGUGAAUAAUGAACCAGCUCAAGCUGCCAACUAACUCAGGUCUCUGCCCAUACUCAGCAAUCAAAUAUAAGUAGGAAAUGGCAAUUCAACAGAAACAAGUGUCAAGAAAAUUUGUUACACACAGCUUUUCCAUAGUGAACUGUUACCCUGAUAAAGUAAUGUGUGUUUGGUUUUCUGUUUCUUUUUCAAUUAUUUCCUGCACAAUAACCUGUUUCUUGUUGCUCCUAAUUUGAUUUCUUCAAACUGUUCAACAAAAAAUGACUUUAGAACUUAAUCAGGAGAACAUGUGUACCUAAAACUACAAAUUCAAAAUAUAAACUGCGCAUUGGCCUCUGAAUGUAUCCAUGUCCAAUAUUGUCCCAACUGAAUCAGCUCAUUCAAAGCUAAUUUUAAACGCUUGUACCACGCUACAUAUGGGAGUUGUGUCUCUUUAUGUUAAGAGAUUCAGAGGCCAUUCAUGGAAAGAAGAAUUAAGCCAGACCAAAUAUACCCAAAAAAAAAGUAGAAGAGAGUGAGAAUGCUGGUAUAAUUCAAGUGAAACAAAAAAAUAUAUUGUACUUUUCCCCUUCAAAUUGCAACUUCUUUGCGCUGUUAUGGCCACUGCUGUAACCCAUAAAUCAAGACCUUCUUCCCCAUUUCUAGUUAAAGGGAUUUAACCCCAAAUUUUCUGUCCCAGAAUAAUAUUCCAGUAGGGAAAGCAAAGAGGCAACUUGAAAGGCAUAACGAAUCCUAAAUUCAUAACUGAAUGAUUACAGAAUUAAAAUUGCAAAAAUUUUGAAUCCUUCAAGGUAAAACGAAUCAUAAUUCGAAACUGAAUGAGAAUGGAAUCAUUAGGCAUAAAACAAGAGGAUGGAAAAGUAAGACAGUCAUUUAGAUAAUACUAAACUUAGAUAAAAUUUGAAAUAGUGAAUUGAAAUAAACAAUAAAAAUGAAGUAAAAUUAACUUGAAAAUUAGAGAAAAAUAAUGUCAAAACAAAGAUUGAGAAUAGAGUAUAAAGAGGAAUGAUGAUUACUGCCAUCUCUAGAUGAUCAAAAUUUCAGUUGUUUGAGCUAUCACCAUUAAACAGUAUUUAGAUGAUAUGAUGUGCAUGGUUUCAAAUCACGGUCUCAGUCACAGUCACGGAUAACGGAAAUAGGCCUGUCAUGGCCAUAACAUAACAAUAACGACCUAACGCUACACAAAUUUUUUUAAAAAACUUGCAAAGUACAUAAAAUAACUAUAUAUCAGUAGAUACAAGUAAAACUAUGAUACACAACAAUAUAAUAAGCACAAAUACAUCAACUAAAGAUAUUAAAUCUAUCAUGUUUAGACAUUAUUAGCAUUAAACAAUAAUGUACGUAGAACAGAGAUAUUUAAUGAUGGUCUUAGCUUAAUAAACAACAAGGGAGAGAUUUUGUAGAAUAAAGGAGAAAUUUGAGUGAAAAUUUGAUAGAAUAUGAGAGAUAUAGUAGCUGUGCAAGAGAUGAUACUCAAACAAAGAAAAGAGAAGAAAAAUAAUACUGUUUCCGCAUGAUUGCAGCAGAGGUAUAAUUAAAGUAAUGGCCAUUACUAUUACGUAACGGUAAAUAACAGCCAUUACACCUGCAAUUCCAUAUUUGCCAGUAAAUAACGGUGUAUUGCAUAGGCCCUUCCAAAACCUAUAUAUAACAGCCAUUACGUUACGUAACGGCCGUAAUUUGUAACCAUUCCCUAGAGGUCCUAGAGAUUCACCAUAAGCCUGGACAUAGCCUUGACAACAAGUCAAUUUCAAUCAGAUUCUGAUCCGCGAAACUAAUAACCUUAAAUAGGACUGUCCAUGGUCGAUUCCAGUUUCCAUCUUGUUCUGAUUUUGGCUUUCAUUAGAUUUGAGUCAAUCCAAAGUUUCAAAAUUUUAAAUCCAAAGUUUCAAAUUUUUAUUUUUAAUUUUUUAUUUAAAAAAAAAAGGGGUUGAAACAGGACCAAACCACCGAUUUCAGCUCAGUUUGGUUUAUGGGACAGAACUCAGAAAUGAGGACGGAGCCCAGUCCCUGAGGUCCUGGUUUCAGUCCAGAUCACGCCCAUGAACCACUGACCAAUUCUGGUCCCGAUUUGACUGAUUCCAAAGUCAGAUCAAGUCAUGGUCAGGACUGCCUAGCCAUAGGCCAGGUUGGGCCAAGAACUAGACCAAGAUGAGCCCAGCCAAUCAUUUGCAUGCAGUUUUUUUUUUUCAUUUUUAAAAUUACACAAUCAAAAUA